This 497-nucleotide ribosomal RNA is filed under the name uncultured bacterium. RNAcentral's name for it is "partial 16S ribosomal RNA". It matches the Rfam family "Bacterial small subunit ribosomal RNA", at positions 28 to 507 of the family's 1533-position model. The record is from RNAcentral.
GAUGAACGCUGGCGGCGUGCCUAAUACAUGCAAGUCGAGCGAACGGACGAGAAGCUUGCUUCUCUGAUGUUAGCGGCGGACGGGUGAGUAACACGUGGAUAACCUACCUAUAAGACUGGGAUAACUUCGGGAAACCGGAGCUAAUACCGGAUGAUAUUUUGAACCGCAUGGUUCAAAAGUGAAAGACGGUCUUGCUGUCACUUAUAGAUGGAUCCGCGCUGCAUUAGCUAGUUGGUAAGGUAAUGGCUUACCAAGGCAACGAUGCAUAGCCGACCUGAGAGGGUGAUCGGCCACAGUGGAACUGAGACACGGUCCAGACUCCUACGGGAGGCAGCAGUAGGGAAUCUGCCGCAAUGGGCGAAAGCCUGACGGAGCAACGCCGCGUGAGUGAUGAAGGUCUUCGGAUCGUAAAACUCUGUUAUUAGGGAAGAACAUAUGUGUAAGUAACUGUGCACAUCUUGACGGUACCUAAUCAGAAAGCCACGGCUAACUACGUG